CAGCCGCCGCGGGAAUACAGAGGGUGCAAGCGUUAAUCGGAAUUACUGGGCGUAAAGCGCGCGUAGGUGGUUUGUUAAGUUGAAUGUGAAAUCCCCGGGCUCAACCUGGGAACUGCAUCCAAAACUGGCAAGCUAGAGUAGGGCAGAGGGUGGUGGAAUUUCCUGUGUAGCGGUGAAAUGCGUAGAUAUAGGAAGGAACACCAGUGGCGAAGGCGACCACCUGGGCUCAUACUGACACUGAGGUGCGAAAGCGUGGGGAGCAAACAGGAUUAGAGACCCCCGUAGUCCCUGUCUCUUAUAC
RNAcentral lists this ribosomal RNA (301 nucleotides) under uncultured bacterium. RNAcentral's name for it is "partial 16S ribosomal RNA". It matches the Rfam family "Bacterial small subunit ribosomal RNA", at positions 509 to 807 of the family's 1533-position model. The record is from RNAcentral.